GCCCUCGUAGUAUAAACCAAUACACCGGUCUUGUAAACCAGAAAUGGAGUAAGGCUUCUCCCCAGGGCA
Molecule: transfer RNA, 69 nt
Filed under: Leontocebus nigricollis (black-and-red tamarin)
Lineage: Eukaryota; Metazoa; Chordata; Mammalia; Primates; Cebidae
Description: tRNA-Thr
Rfam family: tRNA
About the family: Transfer RNA (tRNA) molecules are approximately 80 nucleotides in length. Their secondary structure includes four short double-helical elements and three loops (D, anti-codon, and T loops).
Source: RNAcentral